CAAAACACCAUGAACUCUCCUGUGAAAUAUGAAUUUUCAUUUCCACUUAGGAGAAGUUUUACAAUAUUUGCAUUCUCCUAUGACUGAGGAAGGGUGGGUGUGCCAGAAAGCUUGCAAUUAAAUUUUUUUUUUGCAACUAUCUAAUUGGUCUAAUAAAAGAUA
Long non-coding RNA from Gavialis gangeticus (Gharial), 162 nucleotides. RefSeq lists it as uncharacterized. Lineage: Eukaryota; Metazoa; Chordata; Crocodylia; Gavialidae. The record is from RefSeq and is a predicted model, not a curated record. The transcript is spliced from 3 exons.